Molecule: transfer RNA, 68 nt
Filed under: Marmota monax (woodchuck)
Lineage: Eukaryota; Metazoa; Chordata; Mammalia; Rodentia; Sciuridae
Description: tRNA.Ala
Rfam family: tRNA (bases 5-65)
About the family: Transfer RNA (tRNA) molecules are approximately 80 nucleotides in length. Their secondary structure includes four short double-helical elements and three loops (D, anti-codon, and T loops).
Source: RNAcentral
GGACUGUGGCUCAGUGGUAGAGCACUUGCCUAGCAUGUGUGAGGCACUAGGUUCGAGCCUUAGCACCA